UACGUAGGGUGCAAGCGUUAAUCGGAAUUACUGGGCGUAAAGCGUGCGCAGGCGGUUAUGUAAGACAGGUGUGAAAUCCCCGGGCUUAACCUGGGAACUGCAUUUGUGACUGCAUAGCUAGAGUACGGUAGAGGGGGAUGGAAUUCCGCGUGUAGCAGUGAAAUGCGUAGAUAUGUGGAGGAAUACCGAUGGCGAUGGCAGCCUCCUGGGCCAACACUGACGCUCAUGCACGAAAGCGUGGGGAGCAAACAGG
RNAcentral lists this ribosomal RNA (253 nucleotides) under uncultured bacterium. RNAcentral's name for it is "partial 16S ribosomal RNA". It matches the Rfam family "Bacterial small subunit ribosomal RNA", at positions 524 to 776 of the family's 1533-position model. The record is from RNAcentral.